Non-coding RNA from Erythranthe guttata (spotted monkey flower), 1749 nucleotides. The record is from RefSeq and is a predicted model, not a curated record. Lineage: Eukaryota; Viridiplantae; Streptophyta; Magnoliopsida; Lamiales; Phrymaceae.
AUAUGUUACCAAUAGACAUGAUCGAUGGUCAUGCUUUAACACGCGAUCCACUUGUUGUCCUUGUAAGUUUGAUUUCUACCUCCGGCCUUAACCUCACUCCAUAUAUUAUUGUUCGGGGAAGAAGAAAUAGGCCGCUGUUUUUCUCUUCGGUUUGCAAGAUGAAAUAGGCUGCCGUUUCAAAGAGACAUCGUAUACACGGGAGACACUCUCAAAACUUCAUCGUUAGCUAUGAGCCGCAUGCCGAUGAAGAACAAGUAAAGUUUAUUCUAUAGGUAUGGAGAUGUAUUAAUUCAUUUCUCAUUAACCUAUUUCCUCAAUGUUUUGUUAUUUAUUUGGUUUCAGAAAAUUAAUUUCUUCUCGUUGAACUCAAUUGAAUUUAGUGCGUGUGUGUGUGUGUGUUUUCUGGCUCUGUUGUGUGUAUAUGUCUUGUAUGUAUUUCUUAACCGGAAUAAACGUGGAAGUCAAAGAGAACGUCACAGAGAAAGGGCUAAUGCUCGCACCACCGGCAAAGGAAAGGGUAAAGAUGAUGGCUUCACCACUGAACAGCGCCGUGAAAGAGGGAUGCAAAGGAACUUCAAGAAAAGACAGCAAAGAAUGCAGCACAAGCAGCAGCUGGAAGUGUGACGCUGGGAGUGAUCCUUUUUAUAACUUCGUUGUGUAACAUUAAACGACCAGUUCUAUAUGUUUUUUUUUCUUUUCGGUUUUUUUUCUGGUGAAAGUGUAAGUGCCGAAUUGCAAUAAUAGACAUGUGAAACAUGAUGGAUUUUUGGGUGCACCGCCUUUUCUCCAAUUCUCUCAAUUCCUCUGUUAUUGCCAACCCUUUCCCCCUUCUUUGCUCCCCUUACUUUUCAUGAUUUUGUUUGCAGCAUGAAUUUAUUUUUUCAUUUCCCGUGCCCGUCGCAGGUUGCAAUUCGAAAUUCCAGCAUCCACCGUCGAGAUAAAGGAUAAUUCAAGUGGAAUGCCCGUGCAGAAAGACAAGAACAUUUGUCGCUCGGUUGAUCAAGUUGGUAUGCUUGGAAUUUGUUUUCAUGAUUAUUUAAACAGCCUGCGUGCUUUUUCAUUCCUUGCUCAGGGAUGGAGGUAGUUCAUAUAUAUGAAAAUAACGUUUCCCACUUUUCACAUGCAUUUAUCAUAUUCAAUGGCGUUCGAAUAAUUUAAAAGUCAUAAGUUUAUUGAUCAAAUAGAAAUAUAAUUUAAACCACUACUCAUUGUUUAUAGAUACUAAAACAUGUUGAGACUAAAAUAUUGACAAAAGUAAAAAACUUGCUUCUAUUUUUUUUAUAUAAGGAGUUCAAUAUAGAAGCAAGUUUUUUAAUAGAAGCAAUUAUACUUAUGUAUCUGUCAAAAUUAUAUUUUUGUGUUUGAAGUUGAUGUUAAUCUGUUCUUCUGCUCUAUGGAUUUGGACAGUAAAAAAAAAGUCAUUCCGCGAGCAGUACUAAUUACCGGGAUUGACGGAGCACUAAUUACCGGGAUUGACGGAGCAGCAUUCAUAGCAUACUAAUGAGUAAUGAUGCAUAGGCAUCGUAGUUUAAUUUAUGCACUCCCCAUAUACACGAGAAGGGUAUAUUGUGGUUUAUGUUCCUUUCCCUUUUGAUAUAUAUACAUUUUGAAUGCAAAGAUUUGAUAGUUCAGGGAUAGAAAUUUAUGUCUGCAAAUUUGGUGUUUAGUGAACAUUAGAGAACUGCUACAUUAUUCCUUCUGGCAAACAAUCUUUUACUAUCGGACAUGAAACGAUCUUUUAAUAUUGGA